CCUCAUGUUCCGCCGCUCGCCCCUCUCCGCCCUGCCCACGCCCUCCUGUGAUCUACGCCGUCAUGGAAACAAAGCAACCAGGCAGCACCUAGAAAUAGAGCAGGAGGCAGAAGUAAACGGCAUGGAGACGGGGGCGGGGAGCAAAGGUUGGAUUUGGGAAGGAUAUGGAUGACGAGGAGGUUGCUCGGGCGGUCGAAGGAGACGAUCUAGCCCUCGAACUCCUCCCCGAGGGUGGUCUUCGCGGAGAUCACCAC
Molecule: long non-coding RNA, 254 nt
Filed under: Hordeum vulgare
Lineage: Eukaryota; Viridiplantae; Streptophyta; Magnoliopsida; Poales; Poaceae
Description: long non-coding RNA (HVUL_LNC003105)
Source: RNAcentral